RNAcentral lists this long non-coding RNA (1505 nucleotides) under Triticum aestivum (bread wheat). Its description in RNAcentral is "long non-coding RNA (TAES_LNC026377)". Lineage: Eukaryota; Viridiplantae; Streptophyta; Magnoliopsida; Poales; Poaceae. The record is from RNAcentral.
UCUCUAAUAAAUAGCAGUGAACGAAUGAGUUCAUUGGCAAGACAAAAUCACAUAGGAAUAGAAGAAGGAAGGAGGAAUAGAAUAGAAGAAGUAAUCUCUUUGUUAUGAUGGCACUCACCAAGAGCACUACAACACGAUCGACAAUUGUGUAGUCUGUGGUUAUUGCAUUCCUGGUGCUUGCUAUGAUAUGUUCUACCUUGCGAUCCUGCCAUGCACGCAGUGGUAUGCAAGACAUCUCCUUAUUUCGAAUUUAUAAAUUUGCUAAUGCUUUGGUACACCCGCUUAGAGAAGUUUACACGAAUGUUAAAAUUGCAUUAAAAAGGAUAUUUGUGUACAUUGAUGAUUAACUAAUUAUAACACAUAUCUUCCUGAUAGCUCAAUCAACAGACCAGAACCAACUGUGUGGCAGCUCAAUCUAGAACCAACAAUGGCUAGCCUUCUCUAUGACAACCACUGCUCCGUGGCCUCCCAAUACCCCACAAGAAGGACGUAUAUCAUGCUCUCGUAGUCUUCUUGAUUAUUGAUAGCCCUACUUGUUGAUCAUGUUUGAUGGAGUGUGUUUUAGUUUUUUCAGUAGCUAGUACGGUAGGUAGAAUAGAGCUUGAACACGAAAUUUGAAUUGAAGACCAUUAUAUGUCCCAAAUCAGUGUAGGGUAGGAGACUUAAAAGAUCAGAGUUUGAAUAUCAAAUUAGAUCGCUAGCGGGUGGCGGGUGUACGCGGAACCAUUAUGGCGCGACAGACUUGCAACAAGUCCACCCUCGACAGUGCUACCCAUGUCUAUUGCUGCAGCAGCCUGCAGAUCAAACAUUGAAACGAUAUAUUUGGACAUAAAAGACUAUACUAUCCUUUUUUGAUUGAAGGGGUAACCCUUAAUGUCCAACUUUGGUCUUCUAGGCAAGUUGUACACUUUUAUAAGGUGGUGUGCAUAAGUAAACCUCUAUCAACCUAUCAAAAAAAUACUUGUUUGAUAAGUGUGUACUACAUGUGUAUUUUGCAGAACCUAAUAAACCGCCGGUGUGCGUGCGGAUGGAUCCAUGUUUCGAGCGCACUACAUGCUGGGAAAUGUGCGUGGAUAUGGGUUUCCGUGUCCCUCAUCCCGAUUUGUAAGGGGAGUGUAGAUCGGCUUUGUUGCUGCCUAGACAGGACCCGUACAACUCAUUGAUGGUUCUCUUCCUGAGCUAUGCCAUGCUGAAUAAUUGUAUGCUUGUGAUGAGCGUGUGCUGAUCUUAAUAAACAUAUUAAUUUUUUCAUAUUGUCUAUUGUCUAAGUUAUGCUCACAAAUAUAAUGAUUAUCAUCUAUUGUUUGUCAUUUUUUUAUUUGGAGAAAGUCUAUUAUCUGCCUUGUGCAUGGAAAAUAUUGUAUAUUUCUGUCCAUGGGUGCAUGUCACUUUCAUUUGCAGGCUCAUUUGAGUUAUCAGUAGCGUAUCUAAAGCAACCCCCUUUUAGACCAUAAAACAUUUCUUUUCCAAAAAAUAGCCCACUAACUUGCACUGGUUUCCCAUCA